Molecule: ribosomal RNA, 484 nt
Filed under: uncultured bacterium
Lineage: Bacteria
Description: partial 16S ribosomal RNA
Rfam family: Bacterial small subunit ribosomal RNA
Source: RNAcentral
AUUGAACGCUGGCGGCAGGCCUAACACAUGCAAGUCGAGCGGAUGAAGGGAGCUUGCUCCUGGAUUCAGCGGCGGACGGGUGAGUAAUGCCUAGGAAUCUGCCUGGUAGUGGGGGAUAACGUCCGGAAACGGGCGCUAAUACCGCAUACGUCCUGAGGGAGAAAGUGGGGGAUCUUCGGACCUCACGCUAUCAGAUGAGCCUAGGUCGGAUUAGCUAGUUGGUGGGGUAAGGGCCUACCAAGGCGACGAUCCGUAACUGGUCUGAGAGGAUGAUCAGUCACACUGGAACUGAGACACGGUCCAGACUCCUACGGGAGGCAGCAGUGGGGAAUAUUGGACAAAGGGCGAAAGCCUGAUCCAGCCAUGCCGCGUGUGUGAAGAAGGUCUUCGGAUUGUAAAGCACUUUAAGUUGGGAGGAAGGGCAGUAAGUUAAUACCUUGCUGUUUUGACGUUACCAACAGAAUAAGCACCGGCUAACGUCGUG